GAUGAACGCUGGCGGCGUGCCUAAUACGUGCAAGUCGAGCGAACGGACGAGAAGCUUGCUUCUCUGAUGUUAGCGGCGGACGGGUGAGUAACACGUGGAUAACCUACCUAUAAGACUGGGAUAACUUCGGGAAACCGGAGCUAAUACCGGAUAAUAUUUUGAACCGCAUGGUUCAAAAGUGAAAGACGGUCUUGCUGUCACUUAUAGAUGGAUCCGCGCUGCAUUAGCUAGUUGGUAAGGUAACGGCUUACCAGGGCAACGAUGCAUAGCCGACCUGAGAGGGUGAUCGGCCACACUGGAACUGAGACACGGUCCAGACUCCUACGGGAGGCAGCAGUAGGGAAUCUUCCGCAAUGGGCGAAAGCCUGACGGAGCAACGCCGCGUGAGUGAUGAAGGUCUUCGGAUCGUAAAACUCUGUUAUUAGGGAAGAACAUAUGUGUAAGUAACUGUGCACAUCUUGACGGUACCUAAUCAGAAAGCCACGGCUAACUACGUG
This 497-nucleotide ribosomal RNA is filed under the name uncultured bacterium. RNAcentral describes it as "partial 16S ribosomal RNA". It matches the Rfam family "Bacterial small subunit ribosomal RNA", at positions 28 to 507 of the family's 1533-position model. The record is from RNAcentral.